UUUCUUUGUGGUUUCUCUUACAUCAUGCAUGAAUCUUUCGCUUUUUGCUAAAGGUUUCUGUAGAGAGACUCAUCAAUGAGUUUGAUGUAUUUUUAUGAGCUUUGUUCUGGCAAAGCU
This is a small nuclear RNA of Hemibagrus wyckioides, 117 nucleotides long. RefSeq annotates it as U5 spliceosomal RNA. Lineage: Eukaryota; Metazoa; Chordata; Actinopteri; Siluriformes; Bagridae. The transcript has a single exon. The record is from RefSeq and is a predicted model, not a curated record.